RNAcentral lists this small nucleolar RNA (151 nucleotides) under Ascoidea rubescens DSM 1968. Its description in RNAcentral is "Small nucleolar RNA snR8". It matches the Rfam family "Small nucleolar RNA snR8". Lineage: Eukaryota; Fungi; Ascomycota; Saccharomycetes; Ascoideales; Ascoideaceae. The record is from Rfam by way of RNAcentral.
CUUCUUCAUGAUACGAUGCAGCCUAUUCACUGCUUUGCUCUUCAUCGUGAGCAAAUGGAGGGGAAAAGGUUGCUAGAAAAAUCCGAAGUCGACCUUAUACUGGUAUAAUGCUAUUGAUCAUUAUCUUGGUAACUGCGAUUGCGAUACAUGU